ACUCAAAGGAAUAGACGGGGGCCCGCACAAGCAGCGGAGCAUGUGGUUUAAUUCGAAGCAACGCGAAGAACCUUACCAGGGCUUGACAUCCCUUGAAGUGCAUGGAAACAUGUACGUCCUUCGGGACAAGGAGACAGGUGGUGCAUGGUUGUCGUCAGCUCGUGUCGUGAGAUGUUGGGUUAAGUCCCGCAACGAGCGCAACCCUUAUGGUUAGUUGCCAGCACGAAAGGUGGGAACUCUAAUCAGACUGCCGGGGAUAACUCGGAGGAAGGUGGGGAUGACGUCAAAUCAUCAUGCCCCUUAUGUCCUGGGCUACACACGUGCUACAAUGGCCGGUACAGAGGGAAGCGAAGGCGAGAGUUGGAGCGAAUCCCAAAAAGCCGGUCCCAGUUCGGAUUGUGGGCUGCAACCCGCCCACAUGAAGCCGGAGUUGCUAGUAAUCGCGAAUCAGCAUGUCGCGGUGAAUGCGUUCCCGGGCCUUGUACACACCGCCCGU
RNAcentral lists this ribosomal RNA (496 nucleotides) under uncultured bacterium. RNAcentral describes it as "bacterial SSU rRNA". It matches the Rfam family "Bacterial small subunit ribosomal RNA", at positions 899 to 1397 of the family's 1533-position model. The record is from RNAcentral.